AUAAGAAUGAGAGCAGAUUUUGGAGCUUCAUUAUGACGUCUUCGAUUCCUCUCAUGCCAGAUGGUAUAAACGGAGGUUUGGAAUAUUUGGCUAUAAGUAGCAUGUACUUCACAUUUUCGCAAACAAGUUUUUAUUUAGUUUUAUUCCACAGACACUGUGUUCUAGACCUUUUGUAAUCCGGAUUUCUCUUUAUCUAUUCAGUAUUUGUAUUCAGCAUUUGUUUAUUGAUUUCGUUUACUGUUGUUCAUUCUGUUAUCAUCCUGCUGUUACACUGUUGUUAUCAUGUUUUCAAGUUGUUCAACGUUUAUGCUUUCUAUUAUGAUGUCUGAGUAGUGAAUAUGUUUCUGAGGAUGGGUUAGAGUAGUGUAGAAUUCUCAGUAUGCUAGGUUAUUGAGUAUUGAUUAAUAGAUCCCUUCUUGAUUAGUUUUUCUUAAUGCCUAUUGCUUUCUGAUCAAGUGGAAUUUGAGCCUAGACAUUUUUGCGCCCAAAAGGUGUUCGAUGAAAUGUCUGAACCACUAAUACCAGAGAUUCGUGACCCUGUUCCAAGGUAUUGGUUGUAGGGAGCGUUUUAGCUUUAACUUGUUGAUUUGUAAUGGCUGUUAGGUUAGCUCUCGUCAAUGGUGAUUGAGUCUGGGACUAGGUUAACUUGAGGGUCUCUGUUGCGGUGGUACUUAGAUUUGGUUAAUGAACUUGUUA
Molecule: small RNA, 696 nt
Filed under: Arabidopsis thaliana (thale cress)
Lineage: Eukaryota; Viridiplantae; Streptophyta; Magnoliopsida; Brassicales; Brassicaceae
Description: ATSL204700
Source: RNAcentral